CACUGUCUCCUCCUGAGACUCAGCGAAGUUGAAGUGGUUGUGAAGAUGCAAUCUACCCGCUGCUAGACGGAAAGACCCCGUGAACCUUUACUGUAGCUUUGCAUUGGACUUUGAAGUCACUUGUGUAGGAUAGGUGGGAGGCUUAGAAGCAGAGACGCCAGUCUCUGUGGAGCCGUCCUUGAAAUACCACCCUGGUGUCUUUGAGGUUCUAACCCAGACCCGUCAUCCGGGUCGGGGACCGUGCAUGGUAGGCAGUUUGACUGGGGCGGUCUCCUCCCAAAGCGUAACGGAGGAGUUCGAAGGUUACCUAGGUCCGGUCGGAAAUCGGACUGAUAGUGCAAUGGCAAAAGGUAGCUUAACUGCGAGACCGACAAGUCGAGCAGGUGCGAAAGCAGGACAUAGUGAUCCGGUGGUUCUGUAUGGAAGGGCCAUCGCUCAACGGAUAAAAGGUACUCCGGGGAUAACAGGCUGAUUCCGCCCAAGAGUUCAUAUCGACGGCGGAGUUUGGCACCUCGAUGUCGGCUCAUCACAUCCUGGGGCUGUAGUCGGUCCCAAGGGUAUGGCUGUUCGCCAUUUAAAGUGGUACGUGAGCUGGGUUUAAAACGUCGUGAGACAGUUUGGUCCCUAUCUGCAGUGGGCGUUGGAAGUUUGACGGGGGGCUGCUCCUAGUACGAGAGGACCGGAGUGGACGAACCUCUGGUGUACCGGUUGUAACGCCAGUUGCAUAGCCGGGUAGCUAAGUUCGGAAGAGAUAAGCGCUGAAAGCAUCUAAGCGCGAAACUCGCCUGAAGAUGAGACUUCCCUUGCGGUUUAACCGCACUAAAGAGUCGUUCGAGACCAGGACGUUGAUAGGUGGGGUGUGGAAGCGCGGUAACGCGUGAAGCUAACCCAUACUAAUUGCUCGUGAGGCUUGACUCUAU
This 920-nucleotide ribosomal RNA is filed under the name Salmonella enterica subsp. enterica. RNAcentral describes it as "partial 23S ribosomal RNA". It matches the Rfam family "Bacterial large subunit ribosomal RNA", at positions 2014 to 2925 of the family's 2925-position model. The record is from RNAcentral. Lineage: Bacteria; Pseudomonadati; Pseudomonadota; Gammaproteobacteria; Enterobacterales; Enterobacteriaceae.